RNAcentral lists this transfer RNA (70 nucleotides) under Cornufer trossulus (Torakina sticky-toed frog). RNAcentral's name for it is "tRNA-Val". The record is from RNAcentral. Lineage: Eukaryota; Metazoa; Chordata; Amphibia; Anura; Ceratobatrachidae.
CAAAAUGUAGCCUAAUCAAAGCCCCUUGCUUACACCAAGACGAUAUCUGUUAAACCAGAUCAUUUUGAGC